RNAcentral lists this non-coding RNA (92 nucleotides) under Pseudomonas asplenii. The record is from RNAcentral. Lineage: Bacteria; Pseudomonadati; Pseudomonadota; Gammaproteobacteria; Pseudomonadales; Pseudomonadaceae.
CUUUAUGGCGGACUGUGCGCGGGACACUCCUCGGAGUGUGCCGGGUUUCUUCUUCCCCGGUUGUCCAAACCUGCGCACGGUUCGCCACCCUU